GUCGGGGUGGCGAAAUUGGUAGACGCGCUACCUUGAGGAGGUAGUUCCCGUAAGGGAUUGGAGGUUCAAGUCCUCUCCCCGACACCA
This 87-nucleotide transfer RNA is filed under the name bacterium. RNAcentral's name for it is "tRNA-Leu". It matches the Rfam family "tRNA". Rfam says of the family: Transfer RNA (tRNA) molecules are approximately 80 nucleotides in length. RNAcentral also lists the same sequence under 2 other names. The record is from RNAcentral.